This is an RNA transcript of Oncorhynchus nerka (sockeye salmon), 9553 nucleotides long. RefSeq lists it as uncharacterized. The record is from RefSeq and is a predicted model, not a curated record. NCBI's taxonomy places the organism in Eukaryota, Metazoa, Chordata, Actinopteri, Salmoniformes, Salmonidae. The transcript has 6 exons.
UCAAUUCAACCUCUGGGUGUUUUACAUAGGGGGAUGUGUCUGGGGGAAAACGUUUAUCAAACAUGAUGCAUUGGCAGGUUAAAUAGAAAAGAUGGAGUGACUAUUCAAAACCAUGGAAGAGAUUAUUUCAAAUGAGGGCACAAACUGACCGCCCGUGCGUCACACCUGGGAGCUGAGCUGAAGCCCAUGAUUUGAUCUGCGAGCCAUUAGACGCCAGAACGAGCAGACCAUGGGCUAAUAGAAUAGUGUCACAUGAAGUUUCGAUUACAAGCCAGACCAAGGGACUCACUAACUGUUCACUACAGGUCUUAAAGGGAUCGAGACACAUGGAAAACAUCAGGUUGGGUCACCACAGCAACCUUGGAUGGAGGCGAAAUAAGAGGAGAGGGCGAUCGCUCAUUAUGGCUUUUGCUUGGAUUCUGUGGAAUUAUGUUGAAAACUAUUUUAGAAAUCCAUAGGACUGCUCAACAGAAACUCAUCCCUCAUCUGGAAAGAAUAGGAAUUACACCUCGUAUGCAGUCAUCUAGUUUUAACAGAUUCCAACAUACUGCCACAACUGUGCAGAUUAUUUGGCUAAGAGGACCACUGGAACACAAACAUGUCGUGAUGUGUCAGGAAUUGAUGGACAUUGUUGGCAGAGAUGGCUGAUUCUCUCAAGCUCUAUCAGGUUGGAUGGGGAGUGUCGCUGCGCAUCUAUUUUCAGGUCUCUCCAGAGAUGUUUGAUCGAGUUCAAGCCCAGGCUGGGGCUGGGCCACUCAAGAAUAUUCAAAGACUUGCCCCGAAGCUACUGUGUGCUUAGGGUCAUUGUCCUGUUGGAAGGUGAACUUUCACCCCAAUCUGAGGUCCUGAGCGAUCUGGAGCAGUUUUUCAUCAAGUUUCUCUCUGUACUUGGCUCCGUUCAUCUGCCACCACCAUGCUUCACCGUAGGGAUGGUGCCAGAUUUCCUCCAGAUGUGACGCUUGGCAUUCAGGCCAAAGAGUUCAACCUUGGUUUCAUUAGACCAGAGAAUCUUGUAGAGUCUGGCCAAUCUACCACAAUGGCCUGAUUGGUGGAGUGCUGCAGAGAUGGUUGUCCUUCUGGAAGGUUCUCCCAUCUCCACAGAGGAACUCUGGAGCUCUGUCAGAGUGACCAUCGGGUUCUUGGUCACCUCCCUGAUCAAGGCCCUUCUCCCCCUAUUGCUCAGUUUGGCCGGACGGCCAGCUCUAGGAAGAGUCUUGGUGGUACCAAACUUCUUCCAUUUAAGAAUGAUGGAGGCCAUUCUGUUCUUGAGGACCUUCAAUGUUGCAGACAUUUUUUGGUACCCUUCCCCAGAUCUGUGCCUCGACACCAUCCUGUCUCGGAGCUCUACAGAGAAUUCCUUCGACCUCAUGGCUUGGUUUUUGCUCUGACAUGCACUGUCAGCUGUGCGACCUUAUAUAGACAGGUGAGUACCUUUCCAAAUCAUGUCCAAUCAAAAGAUUUUACCACAGGUGGACUCCAAUCAAGUUGUAGAAUCAUCUGAAGGAUGAUCAAGAGAAACAGGAUGCACCUGAGCUCAAUUUCGAGUCUCAUAGCAAAGGGUCUGAAUACUCAUGUAAUGAAACUUAUUUCCAUUUUCUAUUUUUAAUAUAUUUGCAAACAUUUCUACAAACCUGUUUUCGCUCGUCAGUAUGGGGCAUUGUGUGAUUGAUGAGGAAAAAAAUACAUAUUUAAUCAAUUUAAGAAUAAGGCUGUAACGUAACAAAACGUGUAAAAGGGAAGGGGUCUGAUAACUUUCCGAAUGCACUGUAUCUAAGUAAUUUACCUCGUACCCCUGCACAUUGACUCUGUACUUGUAAGUACCCCGUGUAUAUAGCCAGGUUAUCAUUACUCAUUAUGUACUUUUUUUCCUCUGCAUUGUGGGUAAGUUUCUCUACACCUUUUCUACAUCUUUUCAUUAUGAAGCAUUUGACAAUAAAAUGUGAUUUGUAGUAUUGAAAAAUUUGAUAAGGACAAAUAUUAUUGACCCCAGAGUUGUAUAGUAACAACAUUUUAUUUUGAAUUCAUUGCACUUUUCCUCUGAUGUUUUCAUGUCAAGUAUUUCUAGUAUAAUUUUACACAGCACAGGCUUGAAGGGACAGAAGCUUUGAAGUCAUGCCCACCUAUUUUAUAACCUGCAACAACCAUGGGUUGUGCUUUUUGAGAGCAACUCAGAGCAUGGAGAAUCCCCAUUGAGCUGUACCCCUCAGAUAUAUAAGUUCAGAAUAUGUGUAUAUGUAGUGUUACUUUUUCACCUCUGUUAGGGUUAGUGUGUGCUGUCCUUGUUCAUACAAGAAUGCUGUGGCCGGGCCAGCCCAGAAAAGUGUGCUCUGGGACAUUCAAGGCCUGCUAUCGAGAGGCAGUGUGAUAUCAUUUUCCGGCAAACCAGAAAUCAAGGCCUUGGACAGACCUUUUCUAUGUCAGGGAUAGGGGUAGUGUAUGUUUUCUGACAGUUGCUCCUUUCAAGAUUAAUGGGUUUAUGAGAACCGUGUGUCUUCCUCCAAAAGCCAAGCUCAAAAUCUGUCAGUGUUACCAGCAGCAUAAUAGUGAAGUCCUGACAUUGGAAUCCAAAAGACAGAGUGAGUUUUGAUGUCACAACAGAGCAGAAUAUUGUCUCUAUACUGUGUGUGUGCUCAUGUGUGUAUGUGUUUUAAAGACUUAUGUUUGGUAUAGCCAUCUUGAUUUUGUUAUAUUAGGGACGGAAAAAGCGAACCACUUUUGUUCCAUGUGUUGACCUUCGUCUGUAACAACUUUAACAAUAGGAUUGAUAUCUGUAGGGAUGGUAAAAAUAUAGAUUUUUAGCAAUGUAGGUUCAGCAUCUUUGAGUUGUUAUAUCAUGCACUCCAAAAUGAAAACAGUUGCAUAAAACUUCAGGUUUGGUUUAAGUUUCUGUAGGUGACUUUAUCAUUCUUGUUUACUCUGGAGAUGAAGAGGAGAAGAGUAGUUACAGUAAAUGACAUCUGACCAAAUAAUUGAUGUAUGAUUCAUUUUUGAAUAUUGUUAUCAUGUACUUAUACCACUGAAUGCAACAGCAUUUCACUUAUCUGUAAUUAGUUUCACAUCAUUGGAUUUUAUUUCUUUUAAAGUAGAAAGCAGAAAAACACAUGCCCUUUUGAUCUGGUGAUCAUGGACACAAGAGUGGUCUGAACCCCGGAGAGUCACCGUUAAAUUGGUGGCUCAAGAUGAGGACUAAUCAUCUCCCGUACAGGCUUUAGGGCUGGAUUCAAUCCGUAUCGCCCAAUAUCACGGAAGAUACACAUUAUAGCUCGAUUGAAAUUUAAAGGCAAUGUUCCCACGUUUGUGGAGACUGUGUUCACAUUAAAUGCUGCAUAUGUCGGCUCAAUCGUAAAUUACCUUUACAUUUUCACGCAGAUCGUUCACGAUACUUCAGCGAUACAGAUUGAAUCCAGCACUUAGUUGCUGUGGGUGGAUGUGAAAUCUAGGGUGAUCAGGAGGCAAGGCAAUGGCAUCCAGGCAGCCUUGUUGUAUCUGUGUGGACCUCAGUGAACCACUGCCAGACACCCAUAAAUACGUUCCCUUAUUUCUAACAUGGCGUGGAUGCCAGUUGGGGCUAGAAGUGGGUUUGUUUUGGGUGUUCUCAAUGUAUUCCCGCCAGCGCCUCACUUCCACGUUUCUCAUAAGAGAGCCACUGACUUCCUGAAAUGCAUAUGUAUUCAUACUGGUAGUCGUCUGUCAUUUCAGUGAUUUGUUGAAAGCUGCAUAAGUUAAGUCCAGUGUCUGUACAAAGGAGACCUGUUUGUCCAGACACACAUGGAUUAAUCAACUAGACAUCCCACAUUCACAAAGUGUAGUGUCACAUAAAUGCAGAAUCAACAUGAAUUUGAACCUCAACUAUGUUCAGUAAUCCUAGCCCUGGGUAUUCAAAUCAGUAUUGAAUGUGGAACCAGCUGAAUCUUACUUACAGUCAGUUUAGAGUAUUUAGAACUGACUACUCAUUAAAAAAAUUCUUUUGCAUUCUAGAAAAUAACUCUUGAAUAACACUUACUUUAACACUUAAACUUAAGUAACACUUGAACAAUUGCAGAAUCCAAAUGAGAUUUCAUUUCAUAGUAUUUGAAAUACAGUGCACACAUGAUUUAAUAAGUCUUCUUUUAAACCUUCCAAAAUGGGGGACCGUAGCUCACUCAUACAAGUGGUGAAAUGCCUGACAUGUUUGCAUAGAAUAGGGACAGGCAGGACUGCAUCCAAGCCUGGACUUGCUGGCCAAGACAAAACACAAACAUACACACACACACACACACACACCCAAACACACAAGUAGAUGGAGGAAAUCACUACUUUAGAAUUACAGAUAGAGGAUCUUAUUUUGACACGUAUUAUCACAUCAAAAUAAUCCUGCAGCAACAGGAUAUGAACGUUUAGUCCAUAAUGUUGCUUGAUUGGUGGUUAGGAUGUAAACUGGUCCAAUUUAGGCUCCAUGGAAUGUGCAAUACCAAUAUAAACAUGUGUUAGUGCAGGUGUCACGUCCUGACCUUAGUUCCUUUUUUAUGUCUCUAUUUUAGUUUGGUCAGGGCAUGAGUUGGGGUGGGCAUUCUAUGUUUUGUGUUCUAUGUUUUCUAUCUCUAUGUGUUUGGCCUGGUAUGGUUCCCAAUCAGAGGCAGCUGGCAAUCGUUGUCUCUGAUUGAGAACCAUACUUAGGUAGCCUGUUAUCCCAUUUUUUAGUUGUGGUUGAUUGUUUUCUGUUUUGUAUGAGUACCUGACAGAACUGUUGCGUUUUGUUCUACUUUUGUUUCAGUGUUCCGGUUAUAAUAAACAACAUGGACACUUACCACGCUGCGCAUUGGUCUGAUAUUUCCUACUCCUCCUCAGAAGAGGAGGAGAAUCGUUACAGAAUCACCCACCACCAAAAAAGGACCAAACAGUGUGAUAACCUGGAGCAGAGGGUUCUGGACUCCUGGACUUGGGAGGAGAUACUGGAAGGCAAGGGACCCUGGGCACAGGCUGGGGAAUAUCGCCGCCCCAAGGAAGAGCUGGAGGCAGCGAAAGCUAAGCGGCAGCGAAUUGAGGUAAGGCAGCGCAACAGGCACGAGAGGCAGACCCCCCCCAAAAAAAUAUUUGGGGGCACACGGGGAGUGUGGCAGAAUCAGGUUGGAGACCUUAGCCAACUCCCCGUGCUUACCGUGACGGGCGUCGUACUGGUCAGGCACCGUGUUAUGCGGUCAAGCGCACAGUGUCUUCAGUGCGUGUUCUUAGCCCGGUGCGCUACAUCCCAGCCCCCCGUAAGUGCCAUGCAAGAGUGGGUAUCCAGCCAGGGCGUAUUGUGCCGGCCCAGCGUGUUUGGUCUCCGGUACGCCGUUUCGGCCCAGGGUAUCCUGCGCCGGCGCUGCGUGCUGUGUCUCCGGGUGGCUGGGAGGGUGCAGUGAGUCCUAUGCCUGUUCUCCGCCCGUGCCGGGCGAAUGUUGGUAUUGAGCCUAAGGGAGAGGUGCGAGUGGUAUGCACCAGAUCUCCAGUGCUCACCCACAGCCCGGUUCAACCUGUGCCUGCACUCUGGAGGGUCCGGGCUAAAGUGGUCAUCCAGCCUGGAGGAGUGGUGCCAAGGCUGCGCACCAGAGCUCCAGUGCUCCCCCACAGCCCGGUCCAUACGGUGCCUCCUCCACGCACCAGGCCUCCUGUAGGUCUCCCCCUCCAGGUUCUCCCGUCUGUCUGGAGCUGCCAGAGCCGCCGGUCUAUUCGGGGCCCACUGCAAGGGUCCCCAGUCCGAGGUCGGCGGCGAGGGUUGCCGCUCCAAAGGCGCCACUUAAGUGGGCCAAGACGAUGGUGGAGUGAGGUCCACGUCCCGCGCCAAAGCCGCCACCGCAGACAGAUGCCCACCCAGACCCUCCCCUAUGGGUUUAGGUUUUGCGGCCGGAGUCCGCACCUUUGGGGGGUACUGUCACGCCCUGACCUUAGUUCCUUUUUUAUGUCUCUAUUUUAGUUUGGUCAGGGCAUGAGUUGGGAUGGGCAUUCUAUGUUUUGUGUUCUAUGUUUUCUAUCUCUAUGUGUUUGGCCUGGUAUGGUUCCCAAUCAGAGACAGCUGGCAAUCGUUGUCUCUGAUUGAGAACCAUACUUAGGUAGCCUGUUUUCCCAUUUUUGAGUCGUGGGUGAUUGUUAUCUGUUUUGUAUGAGUACCUGACAGAACUGUUGCGUUUUGUUCUACUUUUGUUUCAGUGUUCCGGUUAUAAUAAACAACAUGGACACUUACCACGCUGCGCAUUGGUCCGAUAUUUCCUACUCCUCUUCAGAAGAGGAGGAGAAUCGUUACAGCAGGUUUUCAGUGAAUAUUUGUAAAUCCCAAAGCUCAUCUGCAUUCCCUGCAGCUCAGGGACAUUCAGUGACAACAGAGUGAUCAAAUUAAGAUAAUCUGUAUGUGCUAUAAUUGAGUUGGGCCCUGCAUUGAGUUAGCCCCAGCACAGUGCAAUAUGAUUAGAAAUCCCCUUCUAAACAUACAGCCACACACCCCCACUUUACCCCAUCAGCAAUGAGAGGCUGUUCAGUUUACCUCAUUGUGAAAUGUCCAAAAGCAGAGCAUAUACAGUAUGUCCUAAUAGAUGGACAGGGCAAUAAGAGAAUACCGGUGGGACAUUUUUGAAUGUUUGAAAUGAGAAACAAACGAACUGCCAUGAUGCCUCUGUUGGCUGUAUCAGUGAAUGCUAUGGGAUAGAACAGAUACGACAGGGGAGGAGGUGAGCUGUAGCUGAAAGCACACGACAACCUGUAUAACAAGAAGUUCUCUAGGUUUGCACACCUUCCCCCAAACACAUCUUAACCUUCAACUGCUGUACCAGGAGCCUGUUGUGCUUGUUGUUCCUGAAAAGUCUUUAUAUGCCUGGACACUGGACAAGGCUGAGAGUUCUGUGUGAUUCAGUUACAAAACCUAUGGGUGGUGCUCUGUAUUCCCACUUACUGACCAUGGGGUGCAGCGGACAAUAUGCAUUCUUUGACAAAAUAGUCUACAUUAAAGAGAAUCAUUUGAAUCUGUUUCAUUUUGUGCUGUGUAAUGAAAUGGGUAAUGAUCAGAAUAUGCAGCACCUCAGAAAGUAUUCAUACCCCUUGACUUAUUACACAAUUUGUUGUGUUACAGCCUGAAUUCAAAAUGGAUUAAAUAAAAACAAUUCUCACCCAUCUACACACAAUACCCCAUAUUGACAAAGUGAAAACAUGUUUUUAGACAUUUUAGCAAAUGUAUUGAAAAUGAAACACCGAAAUAUCUAAUUUACAUAAAAAUUCACAUCCCUGAGUCAACACAUGUUAAAAUCACCUUUGCCAGCAAUUACAGCUGUGAGUCUUUCUGGGUGAGUCUCUAAGAGAUUUGCACACAUGGAUUGUACAAUAUUUGCACAUUAUUCUUUUAACAAUUCUUCAAGCUCUGUCAAGUUGGUUGUUGAUCAUUGCUAGACAGCCAUUUUCAUGUCUUGCCAUAGAUUUUCAAGCUGAUUUAAGUCAAAACUGUAACUAGGCCACAUUCAAUGUAAUCUUGGUAAGCAACUCCAGUGUAUAUUUGUCUUGUGUUUCAGGUUACUGUCCUGCUGAAUGGUGAAUUUGUCUCCCAGUGUCUGUUGGAAAGCAGACUGAACCAGGUUUUCCUCUAGGAUUUUGCCUGUGCUUAGCUCUAUUCCGUUUCUUUUUAUCCUAAAACAAAUCCAUAGUCCUUGUCAAUGACAAGCAUACCCAUAACAUAUUGCAGCCACCACCAUGCUUGAAUAAAUGAUGAGUGAUAAUGAGAGUAACACAAAAAUCUAAAUUGGAUCCAGUUCAGGCUGUAUCACAACAAAAUGUGUGAACACUUUCUGAAGGCACUGUACAUAAAGGUGACUGGGGUUUUUAGCAGAGGAAUGUCCUAGUCAUGUCCCCGUUGAGUUUUCCAUGCGCCAUCCUGAAAGACAAUAAGACAUUGACUGACAGAGAGGAACAGUUUAUGAUGACACUGCCAUGGGAAUGUUAUAUGUCAAUUAUUACUCCAUUCAUGUUCAUUUUAGAAUGAUUUUGUGGCAGGUUUGGGGUGUAGAGGCCUCAGAUAUUUAGUUGAACCACUUUUGCAUAGAAAACAACAUCAGAGAUUGCUAAAUGUCAAUAUGCAAUGUUGAUGAAACCAUCUUUUCCACAUAUAAAGCCAGUGUCUUAAUAGUGAUAGUGGUAAUUACAGGGUUGGUCAAAGGUGUCUCUUUGCGCAUACAAGCAUGUGAGCGAGCUCACAGUGCUAUGAAAAGUCAAGGAGAGAUUACGUUAAUCUGGUAUAAUUAGAUGAGGUUCACACCUUUAGCAGAAGUUUGCAACAAAGGGAAAUUAUCCUUCCCCCCCACCUCAAUAAUGCUACCCUGUCAUUAUCUCACAGACAGUUUGUUUAGAGGGAUCAAUUAAGGAUCAUUUUAUGCCGUUCAGCUAUAUGGCAAACACCUUUGCGUUGGACUUACUUUCUUCCUAUCAAGGCAGUGCUGCCAAAAGAAACGUGAAGGGUUGGAAACUUGAUGUCAACAAUGCUGUUGCUAAAUCAAAGCGUCCCUCUCGGAAUCAUUGUGCAAUUACCUCGAAGGAGAGGCUUUCGUGGAAGAUUCAAAGUGUCUCCAUAUGCUGCAGAGCAUAACCUUACACUACAUCUCAAAAACAUCCAGAGAAAUGGAAGUCUGAGUGUCUCUCCUUGAAGAGGAACCGGUCCCAGACCUUCUGCCCAACAGGGAGAGAAAAUUACUACACCAAAUCGAGAGAAGGAGAAUCUUUCCUUGGCAGUAGAUGUAGGGACACGGUUCCAGAGCUACCCUCACUCGAUGAAACAGCAAGGACUUCUGAAUGAAGUACGGCACCGAGUCAUCAUCACACAAGACUGGGUGCUAAGAGCAACUUGAGGGCUGAAGAGGAAAGCUGUUCUCUUUGUUGCAAUCAUGAAGAAGAUAAAGCUGAAAAUUGUUAGGGUGGUGAUGAAGAUGAUUGCAUCCUUUCAUUUGACUAUUUUGAAACACAGUACUUGGAUUCAGUGGGGUGUAUUUUGAACUUGCCAGCAGUGACAUCACUGUGUAAACAUAACCUCUAAGUGUUGCAUAUGAAGAUGUGCAUCGUCAAACCCGACCACUUGAGAAGAGAUACCCUCCCGAGGAGGAUGACUUGAGGUCUCUUGUGCUCUGAGAAAUUGUCAGUAUGGAAAUGAUGGAUUUGCCUGAUAGUGGUAAGAGCCAGGUUAAGCUGUGCUCCGUCAGCGGCAUUGCUUUAAUAUCAAUAACACGGAAGAAUGCCUGGUUUCAGAGAGGAACAUUCGGGGAGCCCCGCCAAGGAGGCUUGAAUGGAUUCCAGACCCAAAUAGACCACCAAUUCCCCAUGGAGACGGGCCCACAACCUCAGAGCCAAGCAGAGACUAGCAGGCCUCCUGUGCUGUGCUAUUCUGUUCUGUGUAUCCUGUUGCUCUCCCACCAUGUAGCCAGGCCCUUGCCCAACAUAGAGUUUACAUCUCCAGAUCAAAGUGAUAAUGGGCCUUGAUUAACAAUCUAAACAAAUCGAGGUCUCAUUGCCAUUGAGUUUCCAGAGAAGUCAGGAUGGGAGACCAGAUUGUGGCCCUUCCUCUUUCUAC